Molecule: small RNA, 5294 nt
Filed under: Pan troglodytes (chimpanzee)
Lineage: Eukaryota; Metazoa; Chordata; Mammalia; Primates; Hominidae
Description: retained intron
Source: RNAcentral
UAGAAUUUUCAGUGAAGGUAUCUGUCAGUAUUUAUGGCAGCUGGGUGCUUCUUGCCCUUCUUUAAGCAGUUCAGGGACUCCAAAUCUGUCAACCGUUGUGAGUAUGGAAGAGCCCUCAUUACGGGUGAGAGAGAUGCUUACUUUAACUUCAAAGGAGGGUAUAAUUUCUCUUAAAAAAGGAAACAUUGUACUUAACCCGACUACCUAGUGCAUAGUACUGGUUGAGUGAGUGAACUAGGUUUUUGUUGAUUGUAGUAGUGGUGGUUUUGUUGGUUUUGUUGUGUUUUUCUGCUUUUUGGUUGAACGUGUAAAUGAAGGCCUGAGGUUAUUUAAUUAUUUGCAAAUUCAGUAAGUAAAAUAUUUUCAAAAAGAGAAUAUUACGGAAAUCUGAAGAAAGGCUGAAAGUGGCAGUGAAGGUAUUUGUUAGAUAAUAAUUGGGAAGAAUUUCCUGGCAGAAUAGUUCAAACAUUUUCUAAGGUUCCAAAUAUGGUUGUAUAAUCUCCUUCCAUGGCGGUCUUUAAAAGAAAGAUUAUUUCUUUCCUUGAAAUAUUUUAAAGGUGAGUCUUUCUGUAGCACAUGGUGUAGUUUGUAGCAUUCUGUAAUCAUGUCAGAUUCAAAAAGUGAGAUUAACUUUUAUAUUUAUUUGCAGAAGGAUAGCUAAUCAUUCUCAAUAAGAAUAUUUAAAAUAGUGUAGGAUGAAGGGAUUGUUUAACCACUGUACCACUUAUAAACUAUUAAUCUUUAUUUGGGAUUAAAAAUAUCCUAGCAGGUUUUUUUUUUUUUUUUUUUGGAGACAGUAUCUCACUCUUUCACCCAGGCUGGAGUACAGUGACAUGAUCACAGCUUACUGUAGCCUUGACUUCCGAGACUCAAGCAAUCCUCCCCCUUCAACCUCCUCAGUAACUGGGACUACAAGUGCAUGCCUCUGUACCCAGCUAGAAUAAUAAUAGGAAAUAGUUUAUUCUCUCCUCAUCUUUUUUUUUUUUUUAAUAGAAAGGUGUUAAUCUUUACUUGGAAUUAAGAAUUUGCUACUCAGUAUUUUUUUUUUUUUUUUGAGAUGGAGUCUCGCCCUGUCACCCAGGCUGGAGUGCAGUGGUGUGAUCUCAGCUCACUGCAACCUCUGCCUCCUGGGUUCAAGUGAUCGUCCUGCCUCAGCCUCCCGAGUAGCUGGAAUUAUAGGUGUGUGCCACCAUGUCUGGCUAAUUUUUUGUAUUUUUAGUAGAGAUGGGAUUUCAAUUCACCAUGUUGGCCAGGCUGAUCUCGAAUUCCUGACCUCAAGUGAUCUACCCACCUCGGCCUCCCAAAGUGCUGGGAUUACAGGCGUGAGCCACCAUCUCCGGCCUGCUAGUCAGUAUUUUAAUAGAAGUUUGGUAAUUGUAUCUCUUGUUUUAAAAAAACACUAUUAGAAAUGGAUUGUGUCUGUAAGUGUAUGUAUAUACAUAAAUAUGCCACAUUUUAUAAUUUCUUGUCAAAAAUUAUCCAAAUUCUAGGAAUUAUAUGUAAUGAAAGGAGCACAGUAAAAAAGCUGUUCAUUAGGUUCUUUAGGGAUUCUCAUUUUUUAAUUGAAAAAAGACAUUUGUUUAAUUGAAAGUUGUUGACAUUGAUCAUAUUAAUACAGAAAAUGUUGAGUGAUUAUACUUAGGGGUUCUCAUUUUUUAAUUGAAAAAAUCUUAUUUGUUUAAUUGAAAGUGGUUGACAUUGAUCAUAUUAAUACAGUAAAUGUUAAGGGUGAUUAUAUAUAGUAGUAAUGUGUGCUUUUAAAACUAAACAUUUGAAAAUUAAAAGAAGAAAGAUUGUGAAUUUUUUGUUAGAUUUAGUUUUUCCUUUUUAUUACAAGGAAUACAUACAUACAAAUUAAAUUAUUGCCGUAAAUGAAGAAAUUGUCAUUUAUGUAGCAUUUGUAUAAUUUUAUUACUUACCUUUAGGCAUUACUAUCACGUUAACUUGGGAAGAUAGAAAUGACUAGAGUAAAUUUUCUCUUUUAUAAUAUUUGUCUAGUUGUGUUUUGUUUGUUUUUUUUUAAUCCUGUAGUUUAAGAAUGAUGUUUAAAAAACACUUUUGUUUCUCUCAGCCUCUGGAAUUGCUUUGGCACUCGUUAGAUGAAUGGCUAGUUUUAAUAGCCACAGAAUUGAUGAAAAACAAAAGAGACUCAACAGAGAUCACUUCUAUUUUACUGAAACAAAAAGGCCAAGAUCAAGAUGCUGCUUCCAUUCCUCCAUUUGAACCUCCAGGACCUGGGAGCUAUGAAAAUCUGUCCACUGGCACAAGGGAAUCUAAACCAGAUGCUCUUGCAGGGAGACAGGAAGCCAGUGCAGAUUGUCAGGAUGUUAUUUCUAUGACAGCUAACAGGCUAAGUGCUGUCAUUCAAGCUUUUUACAUGUGCUGUUCUUGUCAGAUGCCUCCGGGAAUGACUUCACCUCGUUUCAUUGAAUUUGUCUGCAAACAUGAUGAAGUUUUAAAAUGCUUUGUUAAUAGAAAUCCCAAAAUUAUAUUUGACCACUUUCACUUUCUCCUUGAAUGUCCUGAGUUGAUGUCAAGAUUCAUGCAUAUCAUAAAAGCACAGCCUUUUAAAGAUCGCUGUGAAUGGUUCUAUGAACAUUUGCAUUCAGGACAGCCAGAUUCAGACAUGGUGCACAGGCCAGUGAAUGAAAAUGAUAUCCUGCUGGUUCACAGAGAUUCUAUUUUUAGGAGUAGCUGUGAAGUUGUGUCAAAAGCAAAUUGUGCAAAGCUAAAGCAAGGGAUUGCUGUACGGUUCCAUGGAGAAGAAGGCAUGGGUCAAGGUGUUGUGCGUGAGUGGUUUGAUAUUCUGUCCAAUGAGAUAGUCAAUCCUGAUUAUGCAUUGUUUACCCAGUCAGCUGAUGGAACAACUUUUCAGCCUAAUAGCAACUCUUAUGUAAAUCCUGAUCACUUGAACUAUUUUCGGUUUGCUGGGCAGAUCUUGGGAUUAGCGUUGAACCACAGGCAGCUGGUCAAUAUUUACUUCACACGAUCCUUCUACAAGCACAUUCUUGGUAUUCCUGUAAAUUACCAAGAUGUGGCAUCCAUUGAUCCAGAAUAUGGGAAAAAUUUGCAAUGGAUUUUAGAUAAUGAUAUAAGUGAUCUGGGUCUAGAACUAACUUUUUCUGUUGAGACUGAUGUGUUUGGAGCAAUGGAAGAGGUGCCUUUGAAACCUGGGGGUGGGAGUAUUCUUGUGACACAAAAUAAUAAAGCGGAGUACGUCCAGCUUGUUACUGAACUUCGAAUGACAAGAGCCAUUCAGCCUCAGAUCAAUGCUUUUUUACAGGGCUUUCAUAUGUUCAUUCCACCCUCCCUCAUACAGCUUUUUGAUGAAUAUGAAUUGGAGCUACUGCUUUCUGGCAUGCCAGAAAUUGAUGUGAGUGAUUGGAUAAAAAAUACAGAAUACACAAGUGGCUAUGAAAGAGAAGAUCCAGUUAUUCAGUGGUUCUGGGAAGUUGUAGAAGACAUUACUCAAGAGGAGAGAGUUCUUCUCUUACAGUUUGUUACGGGCAGUUCCAGGGUCCCACAUGGUGGGUUUGCUAAUAUCAUGGGUGGAAGUGGAUUGCAAAACUUUACAAUCGCUGCUGUGCCAUAUACUCCAAAUCUUUUACCAACUUCAAGCACAUGCAUCAACAUGCUCAAGUUACCUGAAUACCCAAGUAAAGAAAUACUCAAGGACAGACUUCUUGUGGCACUACAUUGUGGCAGCUAUGGUUACACAAUGGCAUAAUGAAGUCUGGAAAACUCCUCUGACUACUGAUGCACAAUUCAGAAUGGCAGAAGUAAUUUGGGAAAAUGUCAACAAAAAAGCAGCCUAAAUGCAACCCAUAGGCAGGGCUGAUGCUUCCAAUUUAUAAAGGAUCAUCAGGUUUUCUGUUUCUCUCUUUUCCCUUUUAUGUUUUCUCUGUUUGUGAUACAAUUAGAAAAUAUAAAAUCACAGUAGAUUUUAUUUUUUUAAAUGCUAACGGAAAGUAAUAGAGACUGUCCUUUUUCAUAAUUAAUUUUAUCCAAGACUGUAUUAAGGCAAAAUCUGAUUCUACAUUCCACCUCUGCUAUGUAACUGUCUUGUUAAAAGGGUGUUUUCUCUUAAUUUCUGAUAUAUUAUAUGAGGUCAUCCAGCUGGUAUGUUCUUUUGCAUGUAAACUGCCAUUUAUAUUUUAGAAAAUUAUUGUAUAGAAUGGAUUUAGAUUGUCUAUAAAGCCACAAAUACGUAUUUUGCCACAGUGUAUUCUAUAUUGCAAUGAUUUUUUUAGCAUUUUAAUAUUUUAAUAUAUAUUGUAAAAUUUAGACUGAUGAUACUAACAGUUGAUGAAAUGACAUAUAAUUUAUAUAUUAAAGCUUACACUAUAUUGUAUGAAUUACUUGCAUCUUUCAGUGGCCAGUUUUCCAUAUGUAUAUAUUAUGGUCUCAAUGUUUUUCUUAUGCCUCAUUUUAAUUUUUAAUGAAGGUAAAAUUAAAAUGUAUUUUACCACAUUUCUUUUCCUUACUUUUAUCUGUGAGCUCUGACACAUCUGAAAAAGUAAUCUGAUGUGCAAAUUAUAAUUUAAAUAUGUUAAUUUUUUUGCUUCUUAAAUUUGCUUUUCAUCAUUAAAAUGUCAAGUUCAAGUGAUAUGUGCCUAAUAUCACUUGGAUGUUGGUGGGUUUUUGAAUUUUUGGGUGGUUAAUCAGUUUUAUUUUGAAAAGACGUACUUGAAAAGUUACAGCAUAUGUUUGAACAGGAAGUAGGAACAUGCAUACACGAAGAAAUGCUAACGGAAGGAUUUGUAAUGUUUAGGAUCUUCCCUUGGAAACUAAAAAUAGAAUAUUAAUGACAUUACUGUUUGUAGAAUGACAUAUGCAGAUUUUCUUAUAAGCAGUCAUUAUGUUUGCCAGUAAUGUUUGAGAGACAUGUAAGUUGAAAGUUUUGCUAAAUUAUAAAGCUCCUUUAAUUCAUUGGUUUUGGUUCUCUUGUUCUCUUGUCUUUUCUAAAUGUUAACAAAAUAUAUCUUAACAGAUUACAUGAAAUUUAGGAAUUAUUUAAAAGUUACCAUUAGCUCUAAAAUUAAGAUUCAGAUGCUUUAUUUAUAGUAACUGAAGCUAAUAAUGUUUUAUGUUUUGAUUUUUUGAAAUUUAAUUGUAGAAGUCACUGCCUUCUGAGUUUUCAAAUAGAUAACCACCUUUAAUAUUACACUGCUUAUAAUACUAAUGUUUACAGAUAUGUUUCUGUUUAUAACCAUACAAUACAUUGGCUUUGUCAUAUUAGUUUUUUUUGCAAGUAGUUGUGUAAAAGAGAUAGAUAAUAAAAUAUUAAAUAACUG